RNAcentral lists this ribosomal RNA (253 nucleotides) under uncultured bacterium. RNAcentral describes it as "partial 16S ribosomal RNA". It matches the Rfam family "Bacterial small subunit ribosomal RNA", at positions 524 to 776 of the family's 1533-position model. The record is from RNAcentral.
UACGAAGGGGGCUAGCGUUGCUCGGAAUCACUGGGCGUAAAGCGCACGUAGGCGGAUCUUUAAGUCGGGGGUGAAAUCCCGGGGCUCAACCCCGGAACUGCCUUCGAUACUGAGGAUCUUGAGUCCGGGAGAGGUGAGUGGAACUGCGAGUGUAGAGGUGAAAUUCGUAGAUAUUCGGAAGAACACCAGUGGCGAAGGCGGCUCACUGGCCCGGUACUGACGCUGAGGUGCGAAAGCGUGGGGAGCAAACAGG